Amphiprion ocellaris (clown anemonefish) is the source of this 102-nucleotide vault RNA. Its record names the gene Vault. It matches the Rfam family "Vault RNA". From Rfam's summary of the family: This family of RNAs are found as part of the enigmatic vault ribonucleoprotein complex. The complex consists of a major vault protein (MVP), two minor vault proteins (VPARP and TEP1), and several small untranslated RNA molecules. The record is from Ensembl. NCBI's taxonomy places the organism in Eukaryota, Metazoa, Chordata, Actinopteri, Pomacentridae.
GCACUGGUUUAGCUCAGUGGUUCCUUCUCUGCACAAAUCUACUUGAUUUCGUGGUUCAAAUCCCUCUUCGGGACCAAACCACGGGCGCUGUCCAGUGCUUUU